Monopterus albus (swamp eel) is the source of this 227-nucleotide long non-coding RNA. RefSeq lists it as uncharacterized. The record is from RefSeq and is a predicted model, not a curated record. The transcript has 3 exons. NCBI's taxonomy places the organism in Eukaryota, Metazoa, Chordata, Actinopteri, Synbranchiformes, Synbranchidae.
UCUUGACAGUGUUCCUACCGGAUCAGAGCAGUCAGUGCUCCCGGCGUGCGGUCCUGUUUCAGGACUGCGGCACUCUGCUGGCCUUCAACAUGAACACCUACACUAACAUCAAACUCAUUGCUGGGAAGAAUAAAGAUGCUGCAGUUGUUCCUGUGGAGGUCGCUUCAGUCAUCCUGCAGUCUAUAGAUGGGACUCAGAGUGAGCUGAAGAUCAGUGGGGAAAAAAAC